AGACUGUACCUUGGGCAUUGGGAGUAGGCUCCUCAAGUGUUGGAUCCAUAAUUACAUAUAGAAUUUGCUCGUGCUCUAGGAUGAUCUUAAGCUUUCGAUACCAGUUAUCAAAAUUAAGUUUCAUCAACUUUUCAUUAUCCAACAGUGAUCGGAGCGAUGAAUUUGAGGCCAUAUCUGCACGCACAAGAAAAAAAUCAAAACCUAAUUAGUAUAUAAAUUUAUUAAGUCUAAAGAUAUGGACUUUAGUCUAAAAGUUCUCUCAUUAUUUUAUAUGAAUCGAUAGCCUCUACCUCCAAUUCGAAGAAUUACUUUAAUUUCUUAGUGGGUAUUAGAAUCCACACAGACUGCAUAUAAGUCUGACUUUGGCCAGC
RNAcentral lists this long non-coding RNA (371 nucleotides) under Elaeis guineensis (African oil palm). RNAcentral's name for it is "long non-coding RNA (EGUI_LNC053083)". The record is from RNAcentral. Lineage: Eukaryota; Viridiplantae; Streptophyta; Magnoliopsida; Arecales; Arecaceae.